Molecule: long non-coding RNA, 1076 nt
Organism: Onychostoma macrolepis
Lineage: Eukaryota; Metazoa; Chordata; Actinopteri; Cypriniformes; Cyprinidae
Exons: 7
Source: RefSeq, a predicted model, not a curated record
CCCAAAGCCACGACGCCAUUUUAUCUUCAUUCGACCGAGACGGUGUUAUGUUCGUGAGGUGUAGAGAUGCAACGUUAGCCUACAGAAGAGUGAAAGUUUCUCAGGCCGUUUUCAUUUCCUGAAAUAAGAUCCUCUCUCCUUCAUUCCCGCCGAGGCCUGGUUUUACUGCGAGUCUGAAGCAGACACAUUUGGGGGGUUUUCUACUCGGAGGAGAGAAUUCAUCAAAUGAAUUGGGCCAGACUUCUGCAGUGUCAAGUGAAGGAAGCUCCUCUCAUAAGAUUGCAAACUGGGAGUCUGAUGACACGGAGCGAGAGUGAUGGAGGGAGCAGAAUGAUGAAGAUGAAGCCAGAAUUAAGCCAAGUUCCUGGCUUUUCCCAAGACCUUCAAGGACACGAUUGACCUCGGAAUCGGCUGUAAAGGAGGAUGAAACCGAUGUCUAAGAACGGGACAGCGAUAUUGCAUCAAUUUAUCUCCUUCAUUUGAUUCCACCACCACCACAAGGCUGCAAGGGACCUGGAGAAAUGUCCUAUCAAGCUGAAAAACAUCUUCAAAAAGGCACUAACCAGAAGAACACCUUGAUUGCAUAGAAGAGACCACACAGCCAUACCUGCUCGCUGAUGGGACAACGAGGAACCGUGUUCAUGGAUGCUACACAACUGUCGACAAGUAUCUUGCUGCAGUCUUGUUCAAAUCUACCUGUCAUAUUUGUUAAUGUCUAGGUAAAUUUGAUGAUUUUAUGUGUUUUAUUAACUAUUUUAUGUUUCCGUGCAACACUUAAUGAAUGUGACUGACUAACUAACCUCUGCACAUCUGGUAUAUGCUUUAAAGUUGCCACUUUGACCAUUUGUUAAAUAAACGUUGGAAUUUGUACAUCUGUUUGAAGACUCUUGAUUUUAUGUCUAAUCUUGUACAUUAACACCAUACAAUAGCAUUUUUAUUUUUGCACUGAAAAGAAUACUUUAUUAAUUACACUUAAAACAACACCAGGGGUGUUAAAUACCCCAGAGUGUAAAAUUUGAACAACAAUCGCAAGUGUAACAAUUCCCACUCGGAGUGUAAUUUUUCUACACUGUAAG